Stegostoma tigrinum is the source of this 827-nucleotide long non-coding RNA. RefSeq lists it as uncharacterized. The transcript is spliced from 4 exons. Lineage: Eukaryota; Metazoa; Chordata; Chondrichthyes; Orectolobiformes; Stegostomatidae. The record is from RefSeq and is a predicted model, not a curated record.
CAAGCAAAGAGCCAUGAAUUUAGCUUUAUCACUUGAUUUCACCUCUUGACACUAUUUACAGCUGUUUUCUGUUUGUACAUGCUGUAUUUUCCAGUACCACGCUGAGUAUUGUUAUCCCGAUAGUUCUUUCGUCUCAGUCCGUGUGUAUUCCUGGGCGAAUGUGCUCGUGUGGUCUCAGGAGUUGCGGAGGUCACGGCUCUGGGACAGCCGUUUCAUCGCCCUGUGCUGCAGGGAAAAAGCAAUGCAAGUGCCGUUAAUUUUUUGCAUGGCGAGCUGCUGCAUACUAACCGGUCUCACACCAUUACCAUCACCUUGCCCUUGUGAAGGCAGAUAUGGAUAAGGUUCUCAAAGCUGACAGAAGAUUGAAACCACUCUAAUCCUGUGACGAUGAACCUGCCCCGGAAGAGAGAGCCCAGAGAAUUGCCAAAGCUGUCCGCAAACAGUCAAUAGAAGUGAAGGAAAAUUGGGAACAACUGAAAAUCCGUGCGAGCAACUGGCAGAAACAGGUGGAAAAGGCGUUGGAGAAACUUCAAGAACUGCAGAAAGUUCUGGAUGAUCUUGAGGCUCAUGUGAUAACAGCUGAGGGGGUCCACACUGAUUGGCAACCUGUGGGUGACCUGCUUAUUGACUCAUUGCAGGAUCACAUUGAUAAAACCACAGGUAAGGACUAUCUGCAAAAUCUGUGAUUGGGUUUUGAAAGACAGCAGCCUUUGUUUUGGAGAGAUAAUGGGAACUGCAGAUACUGGAGAAUGCGAGAUAACAACGUGUGGAGCUGGAUGAAGACAGCAGGCCAAGCAGCAUAUUAGGAGCACAAAAGCUGACAUUUC